GUCAUCUUCAAUUUCGACCUUCACUUCCUCUUUUUUAAGCCCUGGAAGAUCUGCCUUGAAGAUAUGGGCUUCUGGUGUCUCUUUCCAAUCAAUGCGGGUGUUGACAAAGGCUGAAUUUUCACGAGAAAGGAGAGAAUUUGAGGUGGAAGUGAAAGGGAAGUCUUUGAGUGGAUCCCAAACGUCGAAUGCAGAGACUAGGUCGAAAAUGCUGUUGGCUCGUCGGUUGUAAAAGAAGCUUGGAAUUGUUGCCAUCUUUCACUUCUUUCUUCAGAGAAUUAAUCUUCGUUUACUUGCUGCUAUUGUUUUGAUUGCUUCUUCUUGUUCUUGAUUUUUAUGUGCUAGAGGCGGGACAGGUCGGGUAUUUAUAAGUAAAGGAGGCAUCUGGUUUGUUCUGGACGAUCGAGUAGUACGCUGAACCAGGAGGAUUCUGGGUCCAACCAACAUCAGAUAAGAUUGAAGAACUUUCUCGUAAAUUCCUGAGUCCUCGGUUGUGAAUUGAAAAUGUGUGGAUUUUAUAUUCAAUUGGGUUUGAUUUUUUUAAUGGGCUGAAGCCUUUGUUUUCCUAUUUUUUUCAUGGGCCAGUCUACUGUUAUCAUUGUUUUCUUUUUCUUGCCUUAAAAGAUUUUUAGCUUAUUUUUACAUUUUCAAAAUAUUAUUUUAAUGUAUUUUAGAUAAAAAAAAAUACUUAAAAAAUCAAAUGCUAUCACAAUAAUAAACAGACUUUUAAUACACGAAGGUCUUGUAAAUGAAUAAAAGACUUAAAUCAUGAAAAUAAGAAUUUAAUAUAUAGACAUUACUUAGAAAAUAAAUAAUUUCGUCCUCUAAUUAUUUAUUUAUAUAUAUUAAUGAUUGAUUGAUAAUCACAUGUAAAAGUUUAAAACUAUCUAUUAUUCUUUUAAUCAGAACCUUGUAUAAAUAAAAAAUGACCGAUUAUUUACAGCAUUAAAAACUCACUUAAUAUUGUGAUAAUUUUUACUUUUAAAAAAUAAUUUUUUAUAAUUUUAAUAUAUUAAUAUAAAAAAAUAUUAUUUUAAUAUAUUUUCAAAUAUAUAACCAACACUCCAUAUUAAAAAAUUCAAGGAACUAGUUGCAUAAUAGCUUCGAUGUUAUGCUGAGCAGCUCAAAACUUAAAAACUAAUGGUCAUUGACUGAAAAUUCUCAGCUCUUUGUUAUCCUGGGAAAUUCAAUAACUUCAAUGUUGCGUGCUUGAAAUCUAGGGGUUACCAUGAUCUUUUGGACGGCUGGAUCUGUCACUGCAUCCAUCUAUUAUCAACAAUACGAUCGACGGUCAUUAUCUCACCACGAUAUCAUGGACGAGCAAGCAUGGGGCGUAGAAACGAGAUGUUGCAAGAAACCGAGUUCCAUCUCCAGAUUAUUCAAGCUAGGAAAUUAAAUAGUAUACUCGAUAUGAUGAACAAUUUAUGUUCUGAAUGCAUCCUUCUAACUCUUACGCCUCAAAGAGAUUUACACAGGGAGGGAAGGGAAGAUCAAAAAUCAAGAUACGCACAAAUUUACAAGCAACCAAGAAAAGAUACAGGAAAUUUUAUUAGCAAAACUUUUGAUUACAUUACUCCUCUCUGCAUACUGACGAGAAGACCAAACCUUUCAAUUACUUGUAAAAGAGCACAAUAGAGCAAAAAAGACACACAAUUCUCAAAAGAGGUACUAUCUCGUUCAACCAGAGAUUUCUAUAGCCUUGACAUCAGGUUUCUUGAUCUCUUCUUUAGGCACAGUCACGGUAAGAACUCCAUUUUCCAUAGAAGCCUUGACCUGAUCCAUUUUUGCAUUCUCAGGCAGCCUGAACCUCCUCGAGAACUUGCCACUGCUUCGCUCCACCCUAUGCCAUGUAUCGUUCUUGUCUUCCUUCUCCACAUUCCUUUCUCCGCUAAUCUGAAGCACCCUGUCAUCUUCAAUUUCGACCUUCACUUCCUCUUUUUUAAGCCCUGGAAGAUCUGCCUUGAAGACAUGGGCUUCUGGUGUCUCUUUCCAAUCAACGCGGGUGUUGACAAAGGCUGAGUUUUCACGAGAAAGGAGAGAAUUUGAGGUGGAAGUGAAAGGGAACUCUUUGAGUGGAUCCCAAAUGUCGAAUUCGGAGAAUGUGUCGAAGAUGCUGCCGCCUCGGCGGUUGUUAAAGUAUCUCGGAAUCAUUGCCAUCCUUCUUC
This 2162-nucleotide long non-coding RNA is filed under the name Populus tremula. RNAcentral's name for it is "long non-coding RNA (PTRE_LNC002248)". Lineage: Eukaryota; Viridiplantae; Streptophyta; Magnoliopsida; Malpighiales; Salicaceae. The record is from RNAcentral.